GCCGCUAUAGCUCAGUUGGUAGAGCAACGCUCUCGUAAAGCGUAGGUCAUCGGUUCAAGUCCGAUUAGCGGCU
This 73-nucleotide transfer RNA is filed under the name Varibaculum cambriense. Its description in RNAcentral is "tRNA-Thr". It matches the Rfam family "tRNA". Rfam says of the family: Transfer RNA (tRNA) molecules are approximately 80 nucleotides in length. Their secondary structure includes four short double-helical elements and three loops (D, anti-codon, and T loops). RNAcentral also lists the same sequence under 7 other names. Lineage: Bacteria; Bacillati; Actinomycetota; Actinomycetes; Actinomycetales; Actinomycetaceae. The record is from RNAcentral.